This 1951-nucleotide long non-coding RNA is filed under the name Paramuricea clavata. The record is from RNAcentral. Lineage: Eukaryota; Metazoa; Cnidaria; Anthozoa; Malacalcyonacea; Plexauridae.
CUCAUGUUAAUUGAAUUCAUUUGAGCGAAUAACAAUUUCUCUUUGCAAUUUCUCGUGCAUUAUUUAUAUAUAUACAGAACAGAUUAAAAAUGGAUGGAAUUUUCACGCAUAGUAACUGUCUAAUCAAUUACGCUUUUAGGGAGUGUUCCAAGCCCGUAGCUGGCUCUCAAUUUCUGGGGGGGGGGGCACUGCAGAAAGAAUGUAACAGACGGUUUGAGAUGAGCCCCCCCCGUCGCCAAAAAAAUUUCGGUCAGUGUACCGUUUUAGGGGUCAAAAAUUUUUUCCGGACAUAUCAAUUUUUUCCGGACAGACCAAAUUUUUCCGAAACCUAACAAAAUUUUUCGAAACAUCACAAAAUUUACCACAAAAUUUACAGAAUUUGUCCCAUGAUUACAAUUGGUUUCCAGGUCCUUUAUCUCAAUUUUUCAUACCAAAUUUCGGAGUGGGGGGGGGGGGCAAUGCCCCCCCUCAGUUACGGGCCUGGAGUGUUCAUUAUUUAUGGUUUCACACAUCCUCCAUCUCAAUAUCUACAUGACCCCCCUCUGGCAACAGCAAAACUUACGUGAUACCCCCCCCCCAAGAAAAGACCAAAAACUUUUGUGACCCCCUCCCCCAUUUUAUAUAAAAUACAGUACAAGUGUAUAAAUAUGUUAUGUACAAUAUCAGUUAAACAAUAAAAAGGUCUUUAUUUUAUGACAUUAGUAAUAGUGCAAAAGCUCUUGUUAUUAGCCUUUCUCAAUAAUAUUCAAAUAUUGGAUGGGUAUAUUGCUAUAUACAUAAGUUUUGAAUCAUCGGCAUUCGGCGUUUAUGGCCAUCUUUGUUGCGAGUUAUAUUUGAGUUCUAUUCAAAGAACGUAAUGGACGAUUGCCGGCUAUUUUAGCAAAGGCCAAAGUAAUUCGGCAAAGUCAUUUAAGGGAGCAGUUCUGUGUUCAUUAUUUAUGAUUUCGGGGGACAGUGAAAUCAUGGGGGGGGGGGUCAAAAAAAGUUUGGUGUUUCUUUUUGGGGUAUCACCAGAGUUUGAGGAGUAAUUCAGGGGAGGGGAUCAUGAAAAUUUUAGUUCUGGCAACGUUUUGACCUCUUUAAAUAUGUUAUUAUAGAACAUGAAAAUUUUGAAUUUAACAUGGCUACAAAUUUAAUUAGCCUUUCCACGCCACUAUUUUUGGGUGGCAUUUCAGCCGAAGUCUGUGAGAUAAGUCCACAUAACAGCGACUUUAUAUAAUUUUUUCGACAAAUGAUGGUAAAUUUGCUUUGUAAAUGGUUAGUUUCUUUUGAGAAAUUGCUUUUCACAUUGUUUUAGAAUUGGAUGCCACCCAAAAAUGGCGGAUAUUCGUCAUCGUCCAUAUUCCAUAAUUUGACAUGAAACCAGACCAUCAGGCCAUCUGAAAUCUGGGAAAUUGAGUAAUUUGAGAUCUCAGGCUGAGCCCUAUGACCUAACCCAUAACUAACAGACUAACAUAUGUUCUCAGUAUAGACAGUAUAAGACAAUGCACUACUGUAUUAACAUGAUUUGUCUGUUAAACUAAAUUUUAAAUUGACGCAUUUUCUAACAGCUGCUUGUUUCGGUUUACCCGAAAUAUUAAAGAUGGUUGGUUAUAAUUACUGGCAAUCAUAGGUGUACCAAAGGGUGCGUGUGCUGCAGCCCCCUCCCCCAAAUAAUUUUUAAAUCGGACAGAUUCAACUUAGUUUAGUAAGGGAAAGUACAUUUAUUACGCUGGGGGGGGGGGGGGGAUGAAGAUGUCUUGAAAAACGCACAUUUUUUUUCAGGGCCCCUGUUGAGGUUAUUGGAAAUUUUUCGAAGCCCCCCUUCAAGUUUUUUAAAUUUUCAAUGCCCUCCCCCCCAACAUUCGGAAUCGAAUGAAAUUGCCAACAUAUCACCUGGCAUCUGUUGCAAAUGUCUUUGCAUGCCUGUCAAAAUCGCCAGUAUGCUUCAAUUUCUUUACUUUUUAUCCCG